CUGGCUAGACACUGCAAUUAUCUGAUCAUGAUGUGUGGGAUACAAAUGGUACCUACAUUAUGAAACAAUGUAGCCACACAGACAUAUAUGUGGAUCAGCACAUCUGCAAUGUACUCAGUAAGCGGGUGUGAAUGCACUAAGUAAAACAGAUUAUAUAUAUGAUAUCUUAAAGCAUACAUGCUAAGUGUGAGUAGACUCACCAAU
This 204-nucleotide long non-coding RNA is filed under the name Capsicum annuum. RNAcentral describes it as "long non-coding RNA (CANN_LNC015320)". The record is from RNAcentral. Lineage: Eukaryota; Viridiplantae; Streptophyta; Magnoliopsida; Solanales; Solanaceae.